This 72-nucleotide transfer RNA is filed under the name Leucophaeus atricilla (Laughing gull). Its description in RNAcentral is "tRNA-Trp". It matches the Rfam family "tRNA". Rfam says of the family: Transfer RNA (tRNA) molecules are approximately 80 nucleotides in length. Lineage: Eukaryota; Metazoa; Chordata; Aves; Charadriiformes; Laridae. The record is from RNAcentral.
NAAACUUAGGAUAAUCCCCAAACCGAAGGCCUUCAAAGCCUUAAACAAGAGUUGAACCCUCUUAGUUUCUGC